RNAcentral lists this transfer RNA (91 nucleotides) under Trinickia soli. Its description in RNAcentral is "tRNA-Tyr". Lineage: Bacteria; Pseudomonadati; Pseudomonadota; Betaproteobacteria; Burkholderiales; Burkholderiaceae. The record is from RNAcentral.
UGGCCUCUCGCGAGGCGAGGAAUCGCGUGCCGAUGUACGCGGCAUCGGCGCCGAGCGCGAGUGCGGCGGCGAUCGCAUCGCCGGUGGCGAU